CCGCAGAGGAAGAAGAAGAAGCAUGGGCGCGAUGGUAAUGGCAGUUUACACUGUGGAAGAUGAAAAAAAUAAGGGCACAAUAGUAUUUCACUAAUCUGACGUGGCUUUCCUCUCUAACCACUCUACUUUCUCUUCAUAUUUGGGAGGAUCCGAAAAUCACCCAUGUUUCCACUCAAUCUCACCCUCACCUUCACUCUCUCACGGAACCAAACGGGGGUGGCACUCUUAAAUCCGUCUGCGCUACAGUGCCACCCCUUGAUCCAAACAGGCA
Molecule: long non-coding RNA, 271 nt
Filed under: Phaseolus vulgaris (common bean)
Lineage: Eukaryota; Viridiplantae; Streptophyta; Magnoliopsida; Fabales; Fabaceae
Description: long non-coding RNA (PVUL_LNC004818)
Source: RNAcentral